RNAcentral lists this ribosomal RNA (369 nucleotides) under uncultured bacterium. RNAcentral's name for it is "bacterial SSU rRNA". It matches the Rfam family "Bacterial small subunit ribosomal RNA", at positions 525 to 896 of the family's 1533-position model. The record is from RNAcentral.
ACGGAGGGUGCAAGCGUUAUCCGGAUUCACUGGGUUUAAAGGGUGCGUAGGUGGGCUAGUAAGUCCGUGGUGAAAUCCCCGAGCUUAACUUGGGAACUGCCAUUGAUACUAUUAGUCUUGAAUAUCGUGGAGGUAAGCGGAAUAUGUCAUGUAGCGGUGAAAUGCUUAGAUAUGACAUAGAACACCAAUUGCGAAGGCAGCUUGCUACACGGUCAUUGACACUGAGGCACGAAAGCGUGGGGAGCAAACAGGAUUAGAUACCCUGGUAGUCCACGCCCUAAACUAUGGAUACUCGACAUCAGCGAUACACAGUUGGUGUCUGAGCGAAAGCAUUAAGUAUCCCACCUGGGAAGUACGAUCGCAAGAUUG